CAUGAAUUUUGUAAACUGCACUAGAGUCUCUCAUAGACGUGAUGUAACUCUACGUCUGUCGGACAUGGGAGUGAUUCGAUGUUACUUAGGAGAUGAACCACAAAGAGGAAACAGCAGCAUCACAUACAGAUGAAUAAAAACCUCAUACAACAUCCGUCGGUCACAGAGGACGGACACAGAAUGGCUCCGCUGGCACUGAUCCUUAUUUUUCUGCUUCACUUUGAAGCAGGUCUUAGUGGAAAACGUUAUUAUCUCUAUCACACACCUGGACAAGACGUCACUAUGACCUGUGCCAAUGUUUCUGACACAAAAUGCUCCAACAUCAACUGGCUUUAUAACGCCGCUAAGACUGAGACUAUAUAUGACGUUCAGGAUGGAAACAUUAUAAAGAGCUCAGUUCGAGCUGCCAGGCUGAGUCUGGGCCCUGACUGCUCUGUGGUCAUCAGAAACAUCACUGCUGAGGAUGUAGGUCUGUACACCUGUCGGCGAGGGAGGAACCCUGGACAGGAUGCAGCCACAUUUCUAAGUGUUCUGACAAUCUCUCUGUUUCCUCCAGACACUGGUCCACAGAUGGAUGAAGUGACAUUACAGUGCUCUCUGCUGAGAUUCAGUAAAGAUGUUCGCUGUCGAGAGAACAGCUUCAGCUGGAUGGACGAGGCAGGAACGCUGCUGCUUGGUGAACAGUCCCAGUCUGAGACCCAAUGUGUGUCUCGUCUGACUGUGAAGCGUCAGAGCCUUGACAACAGGACGUACACCUGCUGGUUUGUUGAUGAGGAGAACAAUGUGAAGAUACAGACUGAAUACACACGUGUCCUCACCACAGACUGGACUCUGAGCUACAUCAUGUUGCCUCUGCGUGUUACAGGACUGAUCCUAAUGAUUGUCAUCACUGUUCUUCUCAUCAGAGACAGAGUGAGAAAAAAGCCACUUGAAGACGACUGUGCUCGUGGUGACAACAAUGACGCCACAGUUUCCUAUGAAAAUGUGUGAAACUGUUCUGCUGCUGUCACAUCGCACUGAGCACCUUAAGGGGGGGGGGGGGGGGGGGUCAGGUACCAUUGAAGCCAUUUCACCUCGGACUUUCCCUCCAGUCCUGCUCACCUGACCCUCCCCUCUCACCCUCUCACUCACACACCUGUUCCCAGUUUUCCCAUCACUGCUCCCUGUUUAAACCAGUUGGUUUAAAAGCUCCCGAUGUUGUUUGUGUUGUACUUUUCAGCCUUUGCCGACCACUGAAAGUUCUGUAAGUCAAAUGUUUUGGCUUUUUUCCUUCCUGGACUUUGCUGCCUGUUUAUGACCUGUCUGCCCUGCACGCCUGGAUUUAUUUACCUGAACUCUGCAAAUCUGUUUUCCUUUUGUUUGUGAAGGCCACAUCCCUGUUUGCCUGCAACUCUGCGUGUUGGUCCCCCAUCCUGUUGCCCCACGUUUCUCAGUUUGUGUCGUCAUUUAUUUAGUUUAGUUCCAUCAAAGUUUGUUUUCAUUACAGUUUUUAAAUGAAUUGAAUUAAACCAGAUUACACAGUCCUCUGUUAUUAAGUAUUAAGAGUCUGAAAUCUGCUUUUGCAGAAACAGUGUGAGAAGCUACAAAUUAUGAGCUAAAUUGGUAAAAGAAGGUGCAGACGUUUUUAUGCCUGAAGUUUCCUGGUGGAACAUGUUAAAAAGAAGAUUUAAAAGCGUAUCUUUUAUUAUAUUAUGGCAACAGGCAGGUUUUACUGGAGCUUCUGUAAAAUAAAGUGACUGCAAACCAUGUGACCUUCACUGUGUUGGCUAAUAUUUAUAAUAUUUGUAAAAUAUGUCUGUGAUAUUUGUUUUUGCAGUAAGUCUUAGACUCACACCUGAAACUUUAAUAAAUAUAUGGAGCUGAGAACAUGAUC
Mastacembelus armatus (zig-zag eel) is the source of this 1873-nucleotide long non-coding RNA. Ensembl lists it as uncharacterized. NCBI's taxonomy places the organism in Eukaryota, Metazoa, Chordata, Actinopteri, Synbranchiformes, Mastacembelidae. The record is from Ensembl.